This 2204-nucleotide unclassified non-coding RNA is filed under the name Haliotis rubra (blacklip abalone). RNAcentral's name for it is "uncharacterized LOC124268846, transcript variant X1". Lineage: Eukaryota; Metazoa; Mollusca; Gastropoda; Lepetellida; Haliotidae. The record is from RNAcentral.
GCUCCCUUUAGAGGAAGGGUGGUAACUCUGUGUGGCAUAGGUGAGACUGUUUCUCAUGUCGGAGUCUCAUGUUCUGGUUUUGAAUCUGACAUUGCGCAUCUGUGAAAGAUGACCCAUAAAGUGACACAGCUAAUGAGGCAUUCUGCGCCAGCAUUGAUGUCGCCAUGGUAACCAGUUCUGAUGCUUCCCACGGAGCGCCACGCCUUGUACCUGGUGGUACCUGCCAACAUCCUGUACACACUUGCAGCUGUCACACACUCAUGGUUCGAGCUGCCACCUCACAGCUUCUACGGCCUGUGGUGGGUACAGUUCUGUGACUACCUGCGCUGUCAGAUUAUACCAGCAUUCUACUCUGAGGAACCAGUGUGGUACCAUGUGCUGCAGGGUCUCAGUUUGCUGGGAUGGGGAGCGCUCUCCCUGUCGAUGCUGCUGCUAAUUUCCACACGACUAGAUAAAUGCCUCCCAGAGCAGUUUGUGAAAAGCAAGCGUCAGCUGACUAUAUCUGGGGUUUGUCUUGUUUCUGUGUUUGCGAUCUCCUCCAGUCUGGUUGUGUUCUAUGCGAAGCUGGAUGAAUCCAGUCCAGCCAUGCACCCUCAGAUCUCCUGGUCUGCCAUGUUGGCAGGGACUGCCUGUCUGUUUGAACUUCUCGCUGGUAUCAUGUUGAUGCAAGUGCCGACGUUCACGAUAUGAUCUGUGUACACUCUGUGUGGCUGCUGGGGCUGUGUGUAUAUAUAUGUACAUGAUCACAGAAGAGAUACUGUGGUUGAUGAGGACGUUCACGAUAUGAUCUGUGUACACUCUGUGUGGCUGCUGGGGCUGUGUGUAUAUAUAUGUACAUGAUCACAGAAGAGAUACUGUGGUUGAUGAGGACGUUCCGCCGACUCCGGGUAGAAACUGAAUGUAACCAUGGAUGCUGAAUACAAAUCAAAAUGUUGGUCAUAUGUCAAGUCACCAUCACUGAUGUUUGAAGAUAGUAUCUGUUACAUUUUAUUUCAUUUUGCGAAAGAAGUGAUGCAUCUUUAAGAUGUUUGCCAUGUUGACGUAAACCUGCUUGCAUGUGUACAUUUCAGUUUUGUUGGCGUGUUGAGGAGUGUACAGGAAGAUCUGUUGUCAUGUAAUAACACACAUGGAACCCUCACUCGCUGGAACCUCAUAAAUCCUGGAUUCUGUGUCAUCUGUGGCCAUGCUGAAUAUGUCGAUGCCAAGUUUACCAAGCAGUUCUUGCCAAACAAAAAGCAAUCUUGCACUGACUGAAAGUGAUACUUGUUCGAGUGUAGAAUUUCACUGUAAGUGAAGUAAAAUAUAUAAACAGUAUCACAUUUUGUGUAGCUAUGCUUGAGACAACUGAGUAGAAACAGAUGACGUAGACUUUCCAGAUGGUACCAGCAUUACAGAUGGCUGUCAGACCCCAGAAAAAGUGUUAGAUAUGUCAAGUGAGUACAAUGUCAGGGGUCUCCAGUCAGUACAAUGUCAGGGGUCUCCAGUCAGUACAAUGUCAGGGUCUCAAGUCAGUACAAUGUCUGGGUCUCCAGUCAGUACAAUAUCUGGUGUGUCCAGUGAGUACAAUGUCAGGAUCUCCAGUCAGUACAAUGUCAGGGUGUCCAGUCAGUACAAUGUCUGGGAUUUCCCGACAAUACAAAAUGUGACUUUGCCUCAUUUAACGGCUCCUGCUCACAACUUGGUGUACACAGUAGGCAACUCGUGAGGAGUCAGUAUGUCACACACUAAGAGAAAUGAAUAUGGUUUUUUCAUAAGCACUGAAGAUAUUUUAAAUAUCGACUUGAUCACCUUUGAUUAUCUCCCUUUGCUAGAACAAGUUAUCUCCCUUUGCAGGCCAUGUUCUACUAAUGAUGGCGGUUAAACCUGUAGUUGAGACCAUUCAUUACUCAGGUCAAACUGUAGCCAUGAAAUUGCUUGAAUGCCUCUCAGCCUGUGUCUGAUGUUCUCCGUCCCUCCAUUGUGAAUAGUGCACAUACACAGGUACUGUUUCUUUGCCAAGUAUUUGCAUCUUUAUUGUUUCCAAUCUAUUUAUGAAGUGACUCAAUGCAAAGCCAAUGAAAAUUCAUUAGCUGUGUACAAACCAGCCUUUUUAUUUGGUUCACAAUGUUUUAGUAGACGUUGAGUGCCUCCAAGUCAACAACACAUGAUGCUCACACUCAAGUUGUGCAUCAUGAUCUGAGAUUUCAUUAAACUUGUCCCAAACA